CUUAGUUUUAGACGUGUUUUGGU
This 23-nucleotide microRNA is filed under the name Drosophila mojavensis. RNAcentral's name for it is "Dmo-Mir-957_5p* (star (passenger))". The record is from RNAcentral. Lineage: Eukaryota; Metazoa; Arthropoda; Insecta; Diptera; Drosophilidae.